GACGAACGCUGGCGGCGUGCUUAACACAUGCAAGUCGAACGGAAAGGCCCUGCAUUUGUGGGGUGCUCGAGUGGCGAACGGGUGAGUAACACGUGAGUAACCUGUCCUUGACUUUGGGAUAACUUCAGGAAACUGGGGCUAAUACCGGAUAGGAGCUCCUGCUGCAUGGUGGGGGUUGGAAAGAUUCGGCGGUUGGGGAUGGACUCGCGGCUUAUCAGCUUGUUGGUGGGGUAGUGGCUUACCAAGGCUUUGACGGGUAGCCGGCCUGAGAGGGUGACCGGCCCCAUUGGGCCUGAGGUACGGCCCAGACUCCUACGGGGGGCAGCAGUGGGGAUUAUUGCGCGAUGGGCGGAAGCCUGAUGCAGCCACUCCGCGUGCGGGAUGACGGCCUUCGGGUUGUAAACCUCUUUCGCCUGUGACGAAGCGUGAGUGACGGUAAUGGGUAAAGAAGCACCGGCUAACUACGUG
RNAcentral lists this ribosomal RNA (468 nucleotides) under uncultured bacterium. RNAcentral describes it as "partial 16S ribosomal RNA". It matches the Rfam family "Bacterial small subunit ribosomal RNA", at positions 28 to 507 of the family's 1533-position model. The record is from RNAcentral.